Molecule: ribosomal RNA, 468 nt
Filed under: uncultured bacterium
Lineage: Bacteria
Description: partial 16S ribosomal RNA
Rfam family: Bacterial small subunit ribosomal RNA
Source: RNAcentral
GAUGAACGCUCGCGGCGCGCUUAACACAUGCAAGUCGAACGGACAGGCCCAGCUAUUGGGGGGUGCCCGAGUGGCGAACGGGCGAGUAACCCGUGAGUCACCUGCACUUGCCCAAGUGAUAACUUCCGGACAAUCGGGCGAAUACCGGUCAGGAGCCCCCGAUGCAUGGGGGGGGUGGGAAAUAGCCGGCGGUUGGGGAUGGACUCGCGGCUCAUCAGCUUGUGUGUGGGGUAGUGGCUUACCAAGGCUUUGUUGGGUAGCCGGCCUGAGAGGGUGACCUGCCCCAUUGGGACUGUGGUACGGCCCAGACUCCUACGGGAGGCAGCACUUGCGAAUACUGCACAAUGCGCGGCAGCCUGACGCUGCACCGCCGCGUGCGGGAUGGCCGCCUUCGCGUUGUCACCCUCUUUCGCCUGUGACGAAGCGUGGGUGACGGUAAUGGGUCAAGAAGCUCGCGCUGAUUUGUUG